AAGGUGUCCUUGCCUGGACGAGGGUGCCCAGCCAACUGCCACGAUGUUCCCUGCACUUGGGUGUGGACCAUCUUCUUCUUCUCCCUGAGCCGACUGAGAUGCAAGGUCUGACCCCACAAGGCCAGGCCGAUGUUCCUGUGUGAUCACUAAGAACCAGCUUCUCAACCACCAUCAGGACCCUGGAUCCUCCUGGGCUGCUGCCUGUUCUCCUGUGGCCCACCUGUGACCAGGAAGGUCUCUUUCCUUCCUAUUGUCUCCAUCUGUUU
Molecule: small RNA, 266 nt
Filed under: Pongo abelii (Sumatran orangutan)
Lineage: Eukaryota; Metazoa; Chordata; Mammalia; Primates; Hominidae
Description: processed transcript
Source: RNAcentral